GGAGAGAUGGCCGAGUAGGCUGAAGGCGCUCGCCUGCUAAGCGAGUAUGCGGGGUAAACCUGCAUCGAGGGUUCGAAUCCCUCUCUCUCCGCCA
Molecule: transfer RNA, 94 nt
Filed under: Pseudomonadota bacterium
Lineage: Bacteria; Pseudomonadati; Pseudomonadota
Description: Proteobacteria bacterium (sediment metagenome) tRNA-Ser
Rfam family: tRNA
About the family: Transfer RNA (tRNA) molecules are approximately 80 nucleotides in length.
Source: RNAcentral